This 469-nucleotide ribosomal RNA is filed under the name uncultured bacterium. RNAcentral's name for it is "partial 16S ribosomal RNA". It matches the Rfam family "Bacterial small subunit ribosomal RNA", at positions 28 to 507 of the family's 1533-position model. The record is from RNAcentral.
GACGGACGCUGGCGGCGUGCUUAACACAUGCAAGUCGAACGGUGAAGCGAGUGCUUGCACUCGUGGAUCAGUGGCGAACGGGUGAGUAACACGUGAGUAACCUGCCCAUCACUCUGGGAUAAGCACUGGAAACGGUGUCUAAUACUGGAUACGACCAACCCUUGCAUGGGGUGUUGGUGGAAAGAUUUAUCGGUGAUGGAUGGACUCGCGGCCUAUCAGCUUGUUGGCGGGGUAAUGGCCCACCAAGGCGACGACGGGUAGCCGGCCUGAGAGGGUGACCGGCCACACUGGGACUGAGACACGGCCCAGACUCCUACGGGAGGCAGCAGUGGGGAAUAUUGCACAAUGGGCGAAAGCCUGAUGCAGCGACGCCGCGUGAGGGAUGACGGCCUUCGGGUUGUAAACCUCUUUCAGCAGGGAAGAAGCGAAAGUGACGGUACCUGCAGAAGAAGCACCGGCUAACUACGUG